CGGGUGUUGACACAGUCGCCCAUCUGAGUUGAAUGGUCAUUCGCGUCGCCUGGUAGAAAGUGUUCCUGGACAGAAUAACCUUUCCUCUGCUUUUUGGUUAUGAUCAAAUAUGUUCUAAAAUGUUUUGGGUGGAAAACAAAGAGCUAUCUUGCAUUAACGGUAUGAAAACUACGUUGGUAAUCGCCAUUAUUGACCGGUGACCUGUGGCAUGCGCCAUGUUGUGUACUGUCACUAUGGGACUGACCCCUAUGACAUCCCAGCACUCCUGCGUUGUAGAGGUCAUGUCUCCAGUCGUGAUUAACAUAGUCGAAGCGCUGUUUUUGAUUGGGCAUCAUAAACAAAUGAAGACUUGGAUUAUCCAAUGCGUAAUGGUGACAGAUUUGGUCCAAAUAUACCAGGCGAGACGUUAGCUAAAGUCAGCCGUAUGAUUCUAGUGAUUACUUUUUUGGAUAUUUAUGGAAAUGUACACUAUGUGAUCAGUCAGCAGUGGCCAAUUGGUUCCACUCUAAUAUUUCUCUCACGCAGGCUGUUAUCCCCAUAGGGACACAAAAUAUGUACAGGACUGAGAAUACCUAGAUAUUAGCAAAAAUCAGCCAUAUGAUUCUAGUAAUAACUUUUUAUGGAAAUGUAUACAUACGCGCUUAGUCAGCAGUGGUCAGGUUUGGUGAGAACUUACAUUCGCCUCAUACAGGCCGUGAUCCCCAUAGGAACUCAUACUGUGUAGGGAUGGCUUCACGAACAGUGGGGAUUUCUUUAAGAUUGCAAGGGAAGCUCGGCUUCCCCUAUAAUGUCCAAAAAAAUUAUGGUCAAAUAUGCACUAUUGUGUAAAUAUUUUAAUGACAAAAAAUGUGUUAUAACACGUUCAUCUUUAAAACUAGUUAGUUCAGAAUCAGCUACAGGUCGGCUGACUCGAUUUUCUUCUCAUACAAUCCCGCAGCGUCACAGUGCAUUUCCCUGUUGAAGCCGAGCGUCCAUUGACUUCAAUGGGGCUGCUUAGAACAGUUUUUUUCAGUGCUCCGAAAGUAGACAGUGAUUGGAUAAAUGCUGCGAUUAUGUCCUGCCCAUGGACACUCAGCGUCUCUGGGUGUGAAUGAGGAGUGGGCUUCCGCGUGAUAAUUGGAGGAUCUGACGGUCUGUCAAACUGCAUCUCCUUUUGACUGAUAGCGGUCUGUACUACACUCAACUAAAGGAUUAUUAGAAACCCCAUACUAAUACUGUUUGACCCCCUUUCGCCUUCAGAACUGCCUUAAUUCUACGUGGCAUUGAUUCAACAAAGUGCUGAAAGCAUUCUUUAGAAAUGUUGGCCCAUAUUGAUAGGAUAGCAUCUUGCAGUUGAUGGAGAUUUGUGGGAUGCACAUCCAGGGCACGAAGCUCCCGUUCCACCACAUCCCAAAGAUGCUCUAUUGGGUUGAGAUCUGCUGACUGUGGGGGCCAUUUCAGUACAGUGAACUCAUUGUCAUGUUCAAGAAACCAAUUUGAAAUGAUUCGAGCUUUAUGACAUGGUGCAUUAUCCUGCUGGAAGUAGCCAUCAGAGGAUGGGUACAUGGUGGUCAUAAAGGGAUGGACAUGGUCAGAAACAAUGCUCAGGUAGGCCGUGGCAUUUAAACAAUGCCCAAUUGGCAUUAAGGGGCCAAGAAAACAUCCCCCACACCCUUACACCACCACCAGCCUGCACAGUGGUAAAAAGGCAUGAUGGAUCCAUGUUCUCAUUCUGUUUACGCCAAAUUCUGACUAUACCAUCUGAAUGUCUCAACCGAAAUCGAGACUCAUCAGACCAGGCAACAUUCUUCCAGUUUUGGUGAGCUUGUGCAAAUUGUAGCCUCUUUUUCCUAUUUGUAGUGGAGAUGAGUGGUACCCGGUGGGGUCUUCUGCUGUUGUAGCCCAUCCGCCUCAAGGUUGUGCGUGUUGUGGCUUCACAAAUGCUUUGCUGCAUACCUCGGUUGUAACGAGUGGUUAUUUCAGUCAAAGUUGCUCUUCUAUCAGCUUGAAUCAGUCAGCCCAUUCUCCUCUGACCUCUAGCAUCAACAAGGCAUUUUCGCCCACAGGACUGCCGCAUACUGGAUGUUUUUCCCUUGUCACACCAUUCUUUGUAAACCCUAGAAAUGGUUGUGCGUGAAAAUCCCAGUAACUGAGCAGAUUGUGAAAUACUCCGACCGGCCCGUCUGGCACCAACAACCAUGCCACACUCAAAAUUGCUUAAAUCACCUUCCUUUCCCAUUCUGACAUUCAGUUUGGAGUUCAGGAGAUUGUCUUGACCAGGACCACACCCCUAAAUGCAUUGAAGCAACUGCCAUGUGAUUGGUUGAUUAGAUAAUUGCAUUAAUGAGAAAUUUAACAGGUGUUUCUAAUAAUAAUUUAGGUGAGUGUAUAAGAAGUCACUGAAGCUGUUUUGAGCUCAGACCCAUCGCGGAUUUCUCAAAUGUAUUCGAAAAGACAAACUGCUGCAAUAUUUCUUGAUAUUUGUUUGGCGAAAUUGCUAGCCGAUUUGCAUCAUACAUUUCACACAAUUAUAGGCUACACCACAAUCCUUGUAUAAGUUUCACAAAGUUUAAUAUAUUUUUUUGUUAAUUCAUUCAUAAAUGGGUCUUUUAUGAAGUGAAAUAUAUGUAAAAUGCAUUUUUGUAAAAAACCUAUUUAAAUAAAUAUUUAUGUAUUCAUAGAAAUGUUUAAGAUAUCAUAAAUCCUCCAAAAACUGCACAAAUGUUAAGUAAAAAAUUAAUAAACAGAGUAAAUUUAAAUUUGUAAAAAAAAAAAUAUAUAUAUUGUUCUGUUAAAAAAUGUUAUGCCAUUGUCUUGGGUCCAAAAGACCCCAAAGACCCCGAGUGUCACUACAAAUGAAGACCAUCAGAGGGUUAUUGUCAUGGUGCGGUUAGCAGCAGCGCCACCGUGCCAUAUAUUCUCAAGUUCCCAUAUCACACGAACACAUCCCGGACUGUCACAUGUCUCCAAUCUUUCACACCAGGUCCCAAUUGACAUCAUUUGUAUGUGUAUAAAUGUUUCCCCUCUGCUCCCCACAUUGUGGAUCAUUGUUGUUGUUUUGCCUGUUCGUGUGUUGGUGAGUGGUGUUGAUGUACUGUUUGAAUGUUAGCUGUUAAGACGCGUUGUUCCGCACUUUAUUUUCAUUCGGUAGAUUAGUUAUCGUUUUCCGUUCGUGUUUGGUUUGUUUGUUGUUUAUUAAAACCCACGAACUGAUAUAUGCCAGCGCCUGGUUCAUUGCCAACACUACACCACAAGAACAUCGUUACAGUUAUAAUGUAGGCCGAAAAUGAGCUUCCACUCUUUGAAAGACCAGCAGCCGCCACUGUUCACGAAUAUGCCUAGAUAGUAUCUAUAAAAAAGAAAAAUUGUCCCUCCUUCAUAACUUGACAUCAGCCAAGAUGAAGUAAAAGAUGACUGGGCUCAAGUAAAUAACUUACACAUGGUGGAUGUUUUAGGUCUAUACCUCAUAUUCAUGUUCUCAACACAACAUCAACACAACAGUUUUUUAUGUUAUGCAGGCACUGAAUUGAAGAGAUGUUGAUGUUGUAAUGCCGAAGAUGAUGAGGUUAAAUAAUGAUGAAAAGUACCUUAAAAGGCCUUGACUAUAAACACAACAUUAAUCUUAUAUUACUGAAUUCAUUCUGUUGGAUAAUGUCUUACUACCCAUGCUCAGAAGGAGUUUCAUUCUUGGGAACCCAGCCUGGUUGGCUUCAGUAACCAUAGAGGUCCAGGAUUCCUGAAUGUGAAGUGGUGUACUACUGAGAUCCACAUUACAGCAUGAUGAAAACUAGUCCACCAAGCAGGAUCAGCAGAGCUGUGAAGAAUGAGAGAGACAUUAGAGAUGAAUGGACCCUAUUAUAUAUUACUGAAAAUAAUAUUAAAUAUUUUCUAUGGUAUAUUGAAUGAUAUGAAACUAUACACUUUGGUAAUAACGCAUUCAUUAUUUAUCUUCAUCUAAUUGUGUAAAUGCUCAAAACGUAAUACCUGUAUUGCUAAAAAUAAUCAUAUACAAUAUUCAAUAAAUACUUAUUAAGUGCUUCUAAGUUAUCAUUUCAGCAGUACUUCCUAUUUGGUUUUGUUACCUUGAGACAGGGUGCGUUGUAGACAAAAAGCGUGGUUAGCUGUGGUGGUUGGUGAGGCUGUUGUAGAACUGUUGCUGUUGUUCGCAUUGGGUUUGGACAGGUCCACGGCUUCAGUGCUUGUAAAUAUAGCAUUAGGACUACCUAGCACCCCUGAAGGAGGAGAGAAAUAGAGGGUUCAAGAAAGACACACAGAAGGGAUGCAUCGUCCACAGAGGGUUUGGAGGCAUGAAGCAGCUCUUAGGUGCUGAUGUUGGUUAAAUUGAGCAUUUCCAUAACUAAUGGAUAAGGUUAGGAUUGGACGAGGGGAAGCUGAUCUUAGAUCUGUUCUUUGGAUUGUGUACUUCACCAUUAGACACGGUCCCGUUGUAGAUGGAAAUGAAAAAGGAGGUACUGCUGCUCUUGGUGGAAGUAGCAUCGGGGACUGUAGCAGAGAACAUGCACUGGAUGGUCUGACCACUGACUGAGCCAGUCACCAGGUUAGAGGGCAGCUACAGGAAACAAGGAUAAAAACAUUAUUAGAGAAACAUCAGUAAAGAUUAACUAAACAUUUUGUCAGAUAUACUUUAAUUCACCAGGCCCAUAUACCAAAUGGACCACAAGUGUGUAAUCAGAGAUUAACCUUGCUAAUUAGUAUCAAAGUAAGGAUCAAUUAACAUUAACAUUGAAAUUCAAGUCCAUUUUUCAUCUUAAGCAUGUUCACAAUUUUGCAUGUCUUGUUGAGUUUAUCAGCCCCAAACAAGAAAAACAUGAAAAGUCUAAUAAUUCUGGCUGAUGGGCCAAACCCACCGUGUUGUUCGGAGUCAGAGUUCCGUUGUUGUAAAGAUUGGAAGAGAAAUUAACGUUGUUGUUGAUGUUAGCACACACAUAGACAGAGUCAUUUUGUCCCUACAGAGAGAGAGGAUGAAUAUAUAAAAAUAUACAAUAACGAGAAGGUUUUAUAUUAAUAAAAAUAUUGGAAUGUGUACAUUUUGGGGAUUAUUAUUUUAUUCAAAAAUGAAAUGUAGAAUUUUAUAGAAAGUAAGUUUCUAGAAAAUCAACACUAAUAUCUAGUCAGUUUUCAUACCGUUGUAUUGGUUCUGGACAACCCUACAGCGACGUAGCCACUGGAUUGUCCUUGAAGCUGGAAGGAAAUGUUCUGUCCCGAGAUUAAACUGGUUGAGACGAAGAAACAGGAUCCAGACACAGAUGGGUCACAGCCUGCUGGCUGAGCAGCACAGAACUGUGAGGUUCCACAAUUUGCCCUUGAGAUGUUUAGCUGUGUGUAAAGAGUUCCUUAUUAGUGGGUCUGGUGUUUGGUAUUUAUUUGACCUAAAAAGGCAACCUGCAAGUGGUUAAUGUAAUGCUUUACUUUUAAAUAUAUCAUUUUAUAUAUAGAAGGACAUAACAUCCCAACAACCCAGAAGUUAAUUGUACCUUUGCUGCCCCAUAUAGAAUUCAGUAUACUCUAUAAGCUUGUUUCUUACUUUUUACCUACCAUGUAAAACUUUAACAUGACAUUUGAGAGUAGCUAUUAUUUGGCAAGUAUCAUUUUGUACAAUUAGCGUAAUAUAGUACAUUUAAAGUAUUGUAUUAUAUGUCACUACAUAUAAUACCUGCUUUGAUAACAUCAUUACAAUACAGCAGGUAUACUGUAUUUUAAAAUACAGACUAACUAUUUGCCCAAGCUGUCUGCAAGCUACUGUAGAAGUCACUUUUACCCAUUUGGGAGUUAUUACAUAAUUUUAACUCAAAACAGCUGCUCUAUGGCUUAACCCAUUUCCUUUUUCCAUUUGACUUUGUGAGGCUUAUUGUUGAGAUCUUUUAAAUGUCUGCGAGGCCAAGUGGGACGUGUAGCCUAGGUAACUUACUGAAAGAGUUGUAUUUGUUGUAUUUGGAGCUGUUGUGGGGAUCUGUGCCUCAGCUCUCAUUCCCAUGCACGCCAUUACCAUGACGACUGCGAACACAACUCUGCUUCGAUUGUCCAUUGCUGUUACAGUAAUGUAGAUACAUAAUGUUACGAUAAAAUUAUAAUAACAACCAAUUUUAAGAUAUGGUAAGCCAUCAUGGCUUAUACUGCAUUUUAAGGCUUCCAAAUGAUGAUGCAUUUUAUUCAUGAGUUUGGAUGAAGACAAUAAUAUGAAAAAAAUUAAAUAAACACAGGCCUACCAUUAUUGUGGCGAUUGGUAAUUAAGUAUUAUGGUGGUGUAUUAGAAUACAACAAGCACUGAAUUGUGAACUCACUAAUUUUAUACUGUUGUUAUUACAUUAUUAAUAACUAGGUACCUUAUUUAAAUUCCAUAAUAUCAACAAUAUCAACAGGGAGGAAAUUAUUAGGAUACAGCUAGUCAGCAAAUAAUACCCAUUAAAUAAAAUCCAUCAUUAUGCCAGUACUGAAAUUGCCUUCCAGUAUUGAAAUAAAUAAAUAUACAUUUAAAAAUAAAGAGUUUGUAUUUGUUUAGAUAACAUAGCUGGUAAAUGUACCUGUAAUUUUGGAUCUCAGAAGAACACGAAGUAAAAAAAUAUGUUGCUGUUCUCCUUGAACAAGUGGUUGUCACAGUCUGACUAAUGGAUGGCACAGGUGCGUUCAAGAAGUAGAUACUCUUCUCCCAACUAAGCUUGCUCUCUAUUUAAAACAGAACUCGUGAAAGGAGGAGGGACAAAGGAUGAAGAAAGCCUGCCUCACUCCUUUUACAUGCAGUUAUUUUGUUAUGAUGUGUGACAUCAUAACAAAAAACACUGUAUGUAGGUGUAAAU
Long non-coding RNA from Esox lucius (northern pike), 6794 nucleotides. NCBI's taxonomy places the organism in Eukaryota, Metazoa, Chordata, Actinopteri, Esociformes, Esocidae. The record is from Ensembl.